RNAcentral lists this ribosomal RNA (253 nucleotides) under uncultured bacterium. RNAcentral describes it as "partial 16S ribosomal RNA". It matches the Rfam family "Bacterial small subunit ribosomal RNA", at positions 524 to 776 of the family's 1533-position model. The record is from RNAcentral.
UACGGGGGGGGCAAGCGUUGUUCGGAAUUACUGGGCGUAAAGGGCUCGUAGGCGGCUUGUCGCGUCGUCCGUGAAAACUUGGGGCUCAACCCCAAGCUUGCGGUCGAUACGGGCAGGCUCGAGUUCGGUAGGGGAGACUGGAAUUCCUGGUGUAGCGGUGAAAUGCGCAGAUAUCAGGAGGAACACCGGUGGCGAAGGCGGGUCUCUGGGCCGAUACUGACGCUGAGGAGCGAAAGCGUGGGGAGCGAACAGG